This 373-nucleotide ribosomal RNA is filed under the name uncultured eukaryote. Its description in RNAcentral is "partial 18S ribosomal RNA". It matches the Rfam family "Eukaryotic small subunit ribosomal RNA", at positions 592 to 976 of the family's 1831-position model. The record is from RNAcentral.
CAAUAGCGUAUAUUAAAGUUGUUGCAGUUAAAAAGCUCGUAGUUGGAUUUCUGAGAGGAUGCCAAUGUCCUUCUGUUUAAGUGUGCAGCGGCGUCUUUUCAUCCUUCUGUUAACACCUCUUGGCAUUCGUUUGCUGGUGGUGGGCUCAGAUAUUUUACCUUGAGAAAAUUAGAGUGUUUCAGGCAGGCUAGGCCGGAAUACAUUAGCAUGGAAUAAUGGAAUAGGACUACGGUCUCUUUGUUGGUUUGAGGGACUGCAGUAAUGAUUAAUAGGGAUAGUUGGGGGCAUUAGUAUUUAAUUGUCAGAGGUGGAAUUCUCGGAUUUGUUAAAGACUAACUUAUGCGAAAGCAUUUGCCAAGGAUGUUUUCAUUAA